Gymnothorax javanicus (giant moray) is the source of this 73-nucleotide non-coding RNA. NCBI's taxonomy places the organism in Eukaryota, Metazoa, Chordata, Actinopteri, Anguilliformes, Muraenidae. The record is from the annotation of a GenBank genome assembly.
GGCAUGGUGCUGCAGUGGUUAGCACUGUUGCCUCACAAUAAAGAUGUUCAUGGUUUGAGUCCCAGCCGUUCUU